AGUGAACGCUGGCGGUAGGCCUAACACAUGCCAGUCGAACGGCAGCACAUUAAGAGCUUGCUCUUACGGGUGGCGAGUGGCGGACGGGUGAGGAAUACAGCGGAAUCUACUUUUUCGUGGGGGAUAACGUAGGGAAACUUACGCUAAUACCGCAUACGACCUACGGGUGAAAGCAGGGGAUCUUCGGACCUUGCGCGAUUGAAUGAUCCGAUGUCGGAGUAGCUAGUUGGCGGGGUAAAGGCCCACCAAGGCGACGAUCCGUAGCUGGUCUGAGAGGAUGAUCAGACACACUGGAACUGAGAGACGGUCCAGACUCCUACGGGAGGCAGCAGUGGGGAAUAUUGGACAAUGGGCGCAAGCCUGAUCCAGCCAUACCGCGUGGGUGAAGAAGGCCUUCGGGUUGUAAAGCCCUUUUGUUGGGAAAGAAAAGCAGCAGGUUAAGACCCCGCUGUUCUGACGGUACCCAAAGAAUAAGCACCGGCUAACUUCGUG
This 492-nucleotide ribosomal RNA is filed under the name uncultured bacterium. RNAcentral describes it as "partial 16S ribosomal RNA". It matches the Rfam family "Bacterial small subunit ribosomal RNA", at positions 29 to 507 of the family's 1533-position model. The record is from RNAcentral.